Manihot esculenta (cassava) is the source of this 682-nucleotide long non-coding RNA. RefSeq lists it as uncharacterized. The record is from RefSeq and is a predicted model, not a curated record. Lineage: Eukaryota; Viridiplantae; Streptophyta; Magnoliopsida; Malpighiales; Euphorbiaceae. The transcript has 2 exons.
AAAAAUAAACCCAAGGCUAUAGGGUAAGUGGGUGAUCCGAUUCCAAGAUACCGGAUCCUCUCCUCCAUUGCAGCCGACUCAAGGAAGAGUAACUUACUGUCAUAUCACUAAACCCAAAAAUAUUUAUAUUACUGCGGCAAUGUAUACGUGGCGCAUUGUGGCAAUUUACCAAUGUUACCAAAGAAAGGAGCGGAUCGCGUCGAACUCGUCCUUCAGUCCAGUUUCCAGUCAAGUGAUAUAAAUUCUCUUCCAGUGUCGAUUCUAUUUUGUGAUCAAGAAAUCACGACACAGAAGUUCAUUGCCCACUCUCAGUUAGAUAGCCUCAAUUCUGAUUUCAAAAGCUUAAGGCUCCAAUUGACUUCUAAAUUGCUAUUCAAAAUCUCAACUGGCUGCUGAAGAAGCAGAAUAGGUCGUGAAUUUGAUGGCGAUGAUAGCAACGGCAAAAGUGGAGGAUGAUGGAUGGAUUGCGAAAUUAAGGAUUAGUUGCAAUUAGAGAUUUGUUGCAAUUAAGGAUAGCGAUUGAUUUGGGGAUUUAAAAGGAUUUAAGUAAAGGGGUUCACUUUGCUUAGGCAAAGUUCAUUUUGGUUCAAAUUGAUUGAAAAAUAAAGUUUAGUAUUUAAAUGUGAUUUUUUUUUUUGGUAAAUGUUUAGAUAAUUUUAUCUAAUAGAUCUCGUUAUAUUAA